This 500-nucleotide ribosomal RNA is filed under the name uncultured Acidobacteriota bacterium. RNAcentral describes it as "bacterial SSU rRNA". It matches the Rfam family "Bacterial small subunit ribosomal RNA", at positions 13 to 529 of the family's 1533-position model. Lineage: Bacteria; Pseudomonadati; Acidobacteriota. The record is from RNAcentral.
UUGAUCCUGGCUCAGAAUCAACGCUGGCGGCGUGCCUAACACAUGCAAGUCGAACGAGAAAGUGGAGCAAUCCAUGAGUAAAGUGGCGACCGGGUGAGUUACACGUGACCAAUCUACCCUUGAGUGGGGGAUAACCUCGGGAAACCGGGUCUAAUACCGCAUAACAUCCUCGGAACGGAAGUUCUGGGGAUCAAAGGAGUAAUUCGCUUAAGGAGGAGGUCGCGGCUGAUUAGCUAGUUGGCGGGGUAAUGGCCCACCAAGGCAAAGAUCGGUAGCCGGCCUGAGAGGGCGCACGGCCAUACUGGAACUGAAACACGGUCCAGACUCCUACGGGAGGCAGCAGUGGGGAUUUUUGCGCAAUGGGGGAAACCCUGACGCAGCAACGCCGCGUGGAGGAUGUAGUCCCUUGGGACGUAAACUCCUUUCGACCCGGACGAUAAUGACGGUACUGGUGGAAGAAGCCCCGGCUAACUUCGUGCCAGCAGCCGCGGUAAUAAGGU